CGGAAGCUUGGCCUGCAGAGGGUGACCGGCCACACUGGGACUGAGACACGGCCCAGACUCCUACGGGAGGCAGCAGUGGGGAAUAUUGCGCAAUGGGCGAAAGCCUGAUGCAGCGACGCCGCGUGAGGGAUGACGGCCUUCGGGUUGUAAACCUCUUUCAGCAGGGACGAAGCGCAAGUGACGGUACCUGCAAAAGAAGCGCCGGCUAACUACGUGCCAGCA
RNAcentral lists this ribosomal RNA (222 nucleotides) under uncultured Actinomyces sp. Its description in RNAcentral is "partial 16S ribosomal RNA". It matches the Rfam family "Bacterial small subunit ribosomal RNA", at positions 281 to 513 of the family's 1533-position model. Lineage: Bacteria; Bacillati; Actinomycetota; Actinomycetes; Actinomycetales; Actinomycetaceae. The record is from RNAcentral.